GGGACACUUCUCAGAAGAGCAGUUAGUUGAACAGUUCUGGGCUGCGCACAGUUGCUGAGGGAGACAUCGGCUCCAGUGAGCUUCUCUUGCUGCAGCAGUUUCCAGCUGGCACCUCUGCCCCCUCCCCACAAUCCUGCACCUUUGGAACAGCGGCAUCAUCCAGAGCCCAGCUCAGUUGAACCGCCCAGUAUCUGCCAAGUCCAAAGGAAGAAAUAUGCAAGACAUCAUUUUGCCUACCUUAUUCUACCUGAAUACAUGGCUUGCUUUAAAACCAGGAGAUACAAGUGGACAGUAUUCUGAGCUUAAUCUUGGAGCCAUUGAGGGAGCAUCUUCACAGCAUUUCUGCACUCAGGUGUGUUUUGUGCAGCAGUAACUUACGUAUUUACUACCUAUAGCAGAGACUUUGACCCUUAACUAUAUUUUAUUUUCAUUUGUAUUAUUGUAUGUCACUGUUCAAUGAUUUUCUCAUGUGCAUAUCCUUAAAUCUGCUAUGUUGUCUUUUUACUUUAAUCAAAGUCUACCAUAUUUAUUGCUCUGAAUUUUCUUUAAAAUUCAGCAUUUAAACUCUAUUGGAAGUUAACAUAUUGUGAAACAUAUGUGCUUCUUAUUAGAGUGAAGACAUUAUUU
RNAcentral lists this long non-coding RNA (627 nucleotides) under Ictidomys tridecemlineatus (thirteen-lined ground squirrel). RNAcentral's name for it is "lncRNA (ENSSTOG00000034253.1)". The record is from RNAcentral. Lineage: Eukaryota; Metazoa; Chordata; Mammalia; Rodentia; Sciuridae.